AGCUCCAAUAGCGUAUAUUAAAGUUGUUGCGGUUAAAAAGCUCGUAGUUGGAUCUCGGCAGCCAGGGGGCGGUUCGCUCCAAAGCGUGACUGCCCCAUUUGGCUGUGUGAUUGGCGGAGGUUCCGGGGUGCUCUUCGUUGAGUGUCCCGGUGCGCCGUCAGGUUUACUUUGAAAAAAUUAGAGUGCUCAAAGCAGGCUUUUCAGGCUUGAAUAUUCGUGCAUGGAAUAAUGGAAUAUGAACUCGUUCCUAUUUUGUUGGUUUUCGGGAAUCGAGUUAAUGAUUAAUAGGGACAAUUAGUAUUCAAACGACAGAGGUGAAAUUCUUGGACCGUUUGAAGACUAACUACUGCGAAAGCAUUUGCCAAGAGUGUUUUCA
RNAcentral lists this ribosomal RNA (376 nucleotides) under marine copepod environmental sample. Its description in RNAcentral is "SSU rRNA". It matches the Rfam family "Eukaryotic small subunit ribosomal RNA", at positions 587 to 972 of the family's 1831-position model. The record is from RNAcentral. Lineage: Eukaryota; Metazoa; Arthropoda; Copepoda.